ACUCGUCCUCAGCCAUCUCGA
Molecule: microRNA, 21 nt
Filed under: Ananas comosus (pineapple)
Lineage: Eukaryota; Viridiplantae; Streptophyta; Magnoliopsida; Poales; Bromeliaceae
Description: microRNA s0247_c087
Source: RNAcentral